UGCUGACUCAUCUAAGAGGUAAACACUCUUACACUUCUCCUUUUCCUUUCUGUGCCUGGAAUGUGGCAUAAUGGUUGAAGCUGAGCAGCAUUCUACGGCCACACAAUGACCUCAGUGAUGGAAACUACAUUCUAAGGACAGCAGAACACAGAUAAAAGGAGUCUUGGCUCCUUGGAGGGGAUGACCUGGGAGCCAGUCCUUGACUAUUUGCAUCAGAACUGCUUUUGUACAAGAGAAAAGAUAAAUCGUGCUCCUGCUGGGGCUGCCUGGGCUUGGCUCCAGGCUGCAGGUCGAGUUGGGUCUGUGCCAUGUGCUCCUCAUCCCCUGUGGACCAGAAGAUGUGCCUUUCUCAUCUCAGAUAACAGGAAGACACAAGACUGAACCACACAAGCACAUUUAGAGCCUCUGCUCACCUCAUGCCCACCCACAUCCCAGCAGUCAAUGCAAGUGUCUUGACCAAGUUCAACAACAACGCCAUAAGGAGAUAAUCUCCAGCUGAUCUACGGAGAAGUAUUGCAAACCCAAGAGAGAGAGACACAGUGAGAGAGGGAACACAAGCAGAAGGAGUGGGAGAGGGAGAAGCCGACUGCCCACGGAGCAGGGAGCCCAAUGAAGGGCUCAACCCCAGGACCCUGGGAUCAUGACCUGAGCCAAAGGCAGAUGCCUAAACAGCUGAGCCACCCAGGUGUUAACGACAGCAAUAACAAGAGUCACCAUGAUGAAAAACAAUUCCACUUUCAGGAGUUUAUCCCAUGGAUCUAUCAAGAUUUAUGUGAGAGGAUACUGAUUGAAACAUCACUUCCAACAGCAAAACACUGGAAAGAACUCAAAAGCCCACUGUCGGGGAACCGGUCCUAUCAAUUGGGGCAGGACCCACAAAGAAAGAGCACGCAGCUGCUGGAAGGUGAAAUGCAAGUUUGUGUGUGUACAUAAAGAUGGCCACAGUAGAUUAAGUAAAAAAAAAAAGCAAGUGGUAGAAGAGUU
Molecule: long non-coding RNA, 984 nt
Filed under: Mustela putorius furo (domestic ferret)
Lineage: Eukaryota; Metazoa; Chordata; Mammalia; Carnivora; Mustelidae
Description: lncRNA (ENSMPUG00000030461.1)
Source: RNAcentral